RNAcentral lists this ribosomal RNA (468 nucleotides) under uncultured bacterium. RNAcentral describes it as "partial 16S ribosomal RNA". It matches the Rfam family "Bacterial small subunit ribosomal RNA", at positions 28 to 507 of the family's 1533-position model. The record is from RNAcentral.
GACGAACGCUGGCGGCGUGCUUAACACAUGCAAGUCGAACGGAAAGGCCCUGCUUUUGUGGGGUGCUCGAGUGGCGAAGGGGUGAGUAACACGUGAGUAACCUGCCCUUGACUUUGGGAUAACUUCAGGGAACUGGGGCUAAUACCGGAUAGGAGCUCCUGCUGCAUGGGGGGGGUUGGAAAGUUUCGGCGGUGGGGGCUGGACUCGCGGCUUAUCAGCUUGUUGGUGGGGUAGUGGCUUACCAAGGCUUUGACGGGUAGCCGGCCUGAGAGGGUGACCGGGCACAUUGGGACUAAGGUACGGCGCAGAAUCCUACGGGAGGCAGCAGUGGGGAAUAUUGCACAAUGGGCGGAAGCCUGAUGCAGAAACGCCGCGUGCGGGAUGACGGCCUUCGGGUUGUAAACCGAUUUCGCCUGUGACGAAGCGUGAGUGACGGUAAUGGGUAAAGAAGCACCGGCUAACUACGUG